GCGGUGGAUGAUGUGGAUUAAUUCGAUGCAACGCGAAAACCUUACUACCCUUGACAUGUCCGGAAUCCCGAAGAGAUUUGGGAGUGCUCGCAAGAGAGCCGGAACACAGGUGCUGCAUGGCUGUCGUCAGCUCGUGUCGUGAGAUGUUGGGUUAAGUCCCGCAACGAGCGCAACCCUUGUCAUUAGUUGCCAUCAUUUGGUUGGGCACUCUAAUGAGACUGCCGGUGACAAACCGGAGGAAGGUGGGGAUGACGUCAAGUCCUCAUGGCCCUUAUAGGUGGGGCUACACACGUCAUACAAUGGCCGGUACAGAGGGUAGCCAACCCGCGAGGGGGAGCCAAUCCCACAAAGCCGGUCGUAGUCCGGAUCGCAGUCUGCAACUCGACUGCGUGAAGUCGGAAUCGCUAGUAAUCGCGGAUCAGCAUGUCGCGGUGAAUACGUUCCCGGGUCUU
Molecule: ribosomal RNA, 452 nt
Filed under: uncultured Rhodocyclaceae bacterium
Lineage: Bacteria; Pseudomonadati; Pseudomonadota; Betaproteobacteria; Rhodocyclales; Rhodocyclaceae
Description: bacterial SSU rRNA
Rfam family: Bacterial small subunit ribosomal RNA
Source: RNAcentral